GACGAACCGUGCGAACGUUGUUCGGAAUCACUGGGCUUAAAGCGCGCGUAGGCGGAUCUGCAAGUCGGGGGUGAAAUCCCGAGGCUCAACCUCGGAACUGCCUUCGAUACUGCGGGUCUCGAGUCCGGGAGAGGUGAGUGGAAUUCCUAGUGUAGAGGUGAAAUUCGUAGAUAUUAGGAAGAACACCAGUGGCGAAGGCGGCUCACUGGCCCGGUACUGACGCUGAGGCGCGAAAGCGUGGGGAGCAAACAGG
Molecule: ribosomal RNA, 253 nt
Filed under: uncultured bacterium
Lineage: Bacteria
Description: partial 16S ribosomal RNA
Rfam family: Bacterial small subunit ribosomal RNA
Source: RNAcentral